GGAUGUCAGGGCUAUCUAGCUGUAACAUCUGUCACCCUAUUGAUCACCAAGGUUGAUCUGGCUGAUCUAGCUGGCUGGGCAGGGGUCCCCUUCCCCUCUCACCACUCUAUGUACAUCCUUCCCAAAGCCGCACACUUGAAGAGGAUGACCGUCUCUGAUAGAGGAGGACCAGUCUUCGGUCAAGGGUAUGCCUCCAAACCUCCAAACAAGUUCUCAAAACAGAGGAUUCAUGUAAAGUACUU
Molecule: non-coding RNA, 242 nt
Organism: Macaca mulatta (Rhesus monkey)
Lineage: Eukaryota; Metazoa; Chordata; Mammalia; Primates; Cercopithecidae
Source: Rfam